GUUCCUAUAGUUGAAUACAACGAUGGUUUUUCAUAUCAUAAGUCAUGGUUUAAAUCCGUGUGGGAAUU
Non-coding RNA from Heterocephalus glaber (naked mole-rat), 68 nucleotides. The record is from Rfam. NCBI's taxonomy places the organism in Eukaryota, Metazoa, Chordata, Mammalia, Rodentia, Bathyergidae.